UCCCAUGUAUUCGUUUGUUUGGCCACUGA
This 29-nucleotide non-coding RNA is filed under the name Mus musculus (house mouse). Lineage: Eukaryota; Metazoa; Chordata; Mammalia; Rodentia; Muridae. The record is from RNAcentral.